Molecule: unclassified non-coding RNA, 477 nt
Filed under: Hevea brasiliensis (rubber tree)
Lineage: Eukaryota; Viridiplantae; Streptophyta; Magnoliopsida; Malpighiales; Euphorbiaceae
Source: RNAcentral
AUGUUGACCCCAGAAAAUAAAAAUAUCUGGAUCUGCCACUGCCUAACACCAUCAAAUUCCAUCACAUAAUAGGUUAAAAAAUGCAUCCCUCAAACUAAAUCUCCAUUAAAAAUUAAGUUCAAGCAUAAUUUUAUAACAAAACUUAAGCCCCAGGCGUAAGGACACAUGGGAAGGGAAGAAGAACCAAGAAGCAACAGAAAGAUGUAAAGGAAAGAGAGAUAGAAGAAUGCAUAAUAAGAGUGUGCGUGCAAGGAAGAGACUGGGGCAUAUGAAGAAAUCAGAGAGAAAUUAGUGACAUGGAAAGAAUAGUGAACUAUGGCUGGUGGCCAGAUCAAUAGUGACAAGCCAUGUGUAACAUCGCAAGGUAUAUGAGGAAACAUGCAAAAUAAGGCUCUUGAAUGUUGUUUUAUACUAGUCAAUUUUUGAACUGAUCUAAUCAAGUCUAAAUGAAUUUUAUGAAAAAUUGUUAACUAUGGU